RNAcentral lists this ribosomal RNA (207 nucleotides) under uncultured bacterium. RNAcentral's name for it is "partial 16S ribosomal RNA". It matches the Rfam family "Bacterial small subunit ribosomal RNA", at positions 568 to 774 of the family's 1533-position model. The record is from RNAcentral.
CGUGUAGGCGGUUAUCCAAGUCAGGUGUGAAAGCCUUGAGCUCAACUCAAGAAAUGCACUUGGUACUGGGUGACUAGAGGACCGGAGGGGAUAGUGGAAUUCCCAGUGUAGUGGUGAAAUACGUAGAGAUUGGGAAGAACACCAGUGGCGAAGGCGGCUAUCUGGACGGUUUCUGACGCUAAGACGCGAAAGCGUGGGGAGCAAACA